UAACUGAAAUCUAAUCCACUUGAAAGUACUCUGGAAGACCACCCAGGUGUUUCAUAUGGCUGCUAUCUUGCUACUAAAUAGGCCCAUUACACAAGCUGGAGAACAUUACCCCAGCAGACUAAUUCACCCAGUGACAGAGUAAGGCAAUGAUCCACGGAUUAUUAUUGACUUUUCCAUGUAACUUCUGGCAUCAAAUUCAACGUGAAUCAAAAUCCAAAGUCCACAGGUCAUCUCAUUCUAUGCUAUCCAUCUAGACUGGAAAACACACAUACAGAGUUGCCUUCACAGAUAAGGUUCCUCAUGAAGGGAAUGAGAGUUGGGUAAGUGAAGAACACAUGAAGGUAUGUGAAGAAGGCCAGGGUGGCUGAAGCAUGAAGAACAAAGGGAAAAAGAGCACAAAAUGAGCCAACAGAGGAAUUCAGUCUGCAUCUUGCCAAGGAGAAAGACAUGUGAACAUGUCAGUACGGUUGACCCUUGAACAACACAGGAAAUUCUGCCUCAAGAAACAGAGUAUGAGAGAAGAAGACAGCAGAGAGACUGCUAGAGUAUACUGAGGGGGAGAAAUUGAAAGCCUGAAAUAAACGUGACAAGAAUCCUGAGAGCACAUCAGGUUGAACCGAUGAAUAGCACAUCUCUCAUUUCAGCUGAGAUGCUUUAUGUCUAAUUUCUGGUUUUAAUCCUAAUAGUUACCCUCACAUAUUUGAAGUGAUAAUAAAGAGA
This is a non-coding RNA of Macaca mulatta (Rhesus monkey), 720 nucleotides long. The record is from RefSeq and is a predicted model, not a curated record. NCBI's taxonomy places the organism in Eukaryota, Metazoa, Chordata, Mammalia, Primates, Cercopithecidae.